RNAcentral lists this ribosomal RNA (915 nucleotides) under Methanosaeta sp. enrichment culture clone AB1. RNAcentral describes it as "bacterial SSU rRNA". It matches the Rfam family "Archaeal small subunit ribosomal RNA", at positions 1 to 922 of the family's 1478-position model. The record is from RNAcentral. Lineage: Archaea; Methanobacteriati; Methanobacteriota; Methanomicrobia; Methanotrichales; Methanotrichaceae.
UUCCGGUUGAUCCCGCCGGAGGUUACUGCUAUCGAGGUUCGACUAAGCCAUGCGAGUCGAAUGUAGCAAUACAUGGCGAACUGCUCAGUAACACGUGGACAACCUGCCCUUAGGACGGGGAUAAACCCGGGAAACUGGGUAUAAUACCCGAUAGGUCUCGAUUGCUGGAAUGCAUCGAGAUUUAAGGCUCCGGCGCCUAAGGAUGGGUCUGCGGCCUAUCAGGUAGUAGUGGGUGUAGCGUACCUACUAGCCUACGACGGGUACGGGUUGUGAGAGCAAGAGCCCGGAGAUGGAUUCUGAGACACGAAUCCAGGCCCUACGGGGUGCAGCAGGCGCGAAAACUUUACAAUGCUGGCAACAGCGAUAAGGGAACCUCGAGUGCCAGGUUACAAAUCUGGCUGUCGAGAUGCCUAAAAAGCAUUUCAUAGCAAGGGCCGGGCAAGACCGGUGCCAGCCGCCGCGGUAACACCGGCGGCUCGAGUGGUAACCGUUAUUAUUGGGUCUAAAGGGUCUGUAGCCGGCCGGAUAAGUCUCUUGAGAAAUCUGGCAGCUUAACUGUCAGGCUUUCAGGAGAUACUGUCUGGCUCGAGGCCGGGAGAGGUGAGAGGUACUUCAGGGGUAGGGGUGAAAUCUUGUAAUCCUUGAAGGACCACCAGUGGCGAAGGCGUCUCACCAGAACGGACCUGACGGCAAGGGACGAAAGCUAGGGGCACGAACCGGAUUAGAUACCCGGGUAGUCCUAGCCGUAAACGAUACUCGCUAGGUGUCGGCCACGGUGCGACCGUUGUCGGUGCCGUAGGGAAGCCGUGAAGCGAGCCACCUGGGAAGUACGGCCGCAAGGCUGAAACUUAAAGGAAUUGGCGGGGGAGCACCACAACGGGUGGAGCUUGCGGUUUAAUUGGAUUCAACGCCGGG